Molecule: long non-coding RNA, 1084 nt
Organism: Nicotiana tabacum (common tobacco)
Lineage: Eukaryota; Viridiplantae; Streptophyta; Magnoliopsida; Solanales; Solanaceae
Source: RefSeq, a predicted model, not a curated record
UUCUUGAUUUCUUCACAGCCCUUCUUUUUCUGUUUUGAUUAUUUUGCUGCUUUGUGCUAAACAGCUUGUUUUCAUCACUCCUACCUUUGUCUAUCCUUCUACUUGAAUGAAUUAAUGUAUGAAAACAGAAAGAGAGUAGAAGAAACAGCUAUAGCUUUUGGUCUUAUGGUCGUGUAAAUAUGUUUUUUCGGUGGGGCUAAAAGAUCCAGUUGAUUAGGACUUCAGUUUGAUCACCCAAAUCUCUCUUUUUUUCUCUUAAAAUAUAAACCAUCUUAGCUUGCCUCUUCUUUCAAUCUCAAAUCUCCAUUUCCUUUUUCUUACUUCUUAGCUAAAAUUCUUUGGAUAUUUCUUCAUAUUUUCUUGAUUCUUGUUGACAAUGAUCACGGGCAGAUAAUUUUUCAGUUCAACCAUGCUUUCUUUCUUUUACUUAGAUAAUUAUUCGGGCUGUUUUAAAAGUUACCAGUUAUAUGUAAGAAGUUUAAACGUAAUUUCUAUCUUAUAUGUAGGUUACAUUCACAUAAUAUGCAUAUGCCUGGCUCCCUGUAUGCCAUUUGCAGAGCUCAUCGGAAUACCGUUGGGUCCCCGUGAAUGGCGUAUGAGGAGCCAAGCAUAUCCCGGAUAUAUAUGGUAAUCUAACUACCUAAUUCUAAUAUCUGUUUUGUUUAUCUUUCUUUUUUUGUUGAGAAAGAGCUGUUUUUUUGUGGGUAAGAUAUUGAAGGUGAAGCAUCGGAAAGGGUACUUAACUUGACAUCUUAAUUCCAACAGGUUAAAGCUUGAUCUUGAGUUAUAUCGAACCGAGGUGCGAAGUUACAUUAUUGAGCUCGGGACUGAACAAGAUUUGAGGAAAAUUUGCCGAAACAAAUAACAGAAGGCCGAAAUAUCCGUGAUCGGUUGGAGAUCACGGCGGAAAUCCUAGCACUUAUCAAGGAGAGGUCGAUUAAUUAGCAAAUCAUGAGAUUUUUACCUUGUAUAGAAUUGUAUCAAGAGUAGGACUCCCCUACUAUAUAAAGGGGGUCUGAUCAUUUGUAACGCAUAUUGCAAUACACAGCACAAAGCAAUAUACUGUCAUUUCUAAUUGUUAUCA